AACGAGGCCGACCUGCGGCUGAGUUACCUGCGGAGGGAUCAUUAAUAAAUGUUACUUCGGUAACUUAAUUAAUCCCUAACACCUGUGCAUCUUGUCGCUUCGGCGUCAUUUUAUAAACAUCAGUGUAAUGAAUGUAACGUAUUAUAACAAAUACAACUUUCAACAAUGGAUCU
RNAcentral lists this unclassified non-coding RNA (173 nucleotides) under soil metagenome. Its description in RNAcentral is "partial contains 5.8S ribosomal RNA, internal transcribed spacer 2, and large subunit ribosomal RNA". The record is from RNAcentral.